GGGUCUCUCGUAUAAUGGCAAGACCGCUGGCUUUUACCCAGCAGAUCAGGGUUCGAUUCCCUGGGGGCCCAC
RNAcentral lists this transfer RNA (72 nucleotides) under Gordonia phage Sixama. Its description in RNAcentral is "tRNA-Lys". It matches the Rfam family "tRNA". Rfam says of the family: Transfer RNA (tRNA) molecules are approximately 80 nucleotides in length. Their secondary structure includes four short double-helical elements and three loops (D, anti-codon, and T loops). The record is from RNAcentral. Lineage: Duplodnaviria; Heunggongvirae; Uroviricota; Caudoviricetes.